This 457-nucleotide ribosomal RNA is filed under the name Lacunicambarus dalyae. RNAcentral describes it as "partial large subunit ribosomal RNA". It matches the Rfam family "Archaeal large subunit ribosomal RNA", at positions 2035 to 2699 of the family's 2987-position model. Lineage: Eukaryota; Metazoa; Arthropoda; Malacostraca; Decapoda; Cambaridae. The record is from RNAcentral.
AGCAUAAUCAUUAGUUUUUUAAUUGAAGGCUAGAAUGAAUGGUUGGACAAGAAAUAAUCUGUCUUAAUUAAAGAUAUUGAAUUUAACUUUUAAGUGAGAAGGCUUAAAUGAUCUAAAGGGACGAUAAGACCCUAUAAAACUUUAUAUUUAAGAGUAGAAAUUAGUUUUAUUUAAAGAUUACUAUUAUAUAAUAUUUGGUUGGGGCGACAGGGAUAAAAUAUAGAGUAACUGUCUUUUUUUAUUUACAAUAAUAUUUGGGCUUAUGAUCCUAAAAUGGAUUAAAGAUUAAGUUACUUUAGGGAUAACAGCGUUAUUUUCUUUAAGAGUUCUUAUCGACAGGAAAGUUUGCGACCUCGAUGUUGAAUUAAAGGUUCUUUAUAGAGUAGAGACUAUAAUAGAAGGUCUGUUCGACCUUUAAAAUUUUACAUGAUUUGAGUUCAGACCGGUGUGAGCCAGG